RNAcentral lists this small RNA (509 nucleotides) under Arabidopsis thaliana (thale cress). Its description in RNAcentral is "ATSL278230". The record is from RNAcentral. Lineage: Eukaryota; Viridiplantae; Streptophyta; Magnoliopsida; Brassicales; Brassicaceae.
AAAGAUGAUAAAAAGAACAUUAAAAAUUAAAAAGUAUUUAAUCCAAUUAUAUGACUGAUUCCUCAACUUUCAUUUGGUUAAAUGAUGUGACCAAAAUUAAAAGUUUCAAAUAGAUCCAUACCUUUUACUUAUAUUAGAAAAUAUCUCCUAGAGGUUUGUCUAAGUGUCCUGGCAAUUUUUGUUACAGAGAAAUAAUCAGUAUUUAUAACUCUUAUAGCCUCAUGAAGCUAGCUAGUGACGUAAAUUACCGUACUUAGACAACGACAGAGUGUUCCGGAUUCUAACGGACUUGGCUUGACUGGAUUGUUUUCUUAGCUUUCUUAUACUUGAGAAACAAAAGUAUGAGGGAGAAAGUGAAUGCGGCUAAUCCCAAGAUAGUAAGAUAUUUUCAAAUAUCUACAUUUGAUGGUUUAUAUCGCUAACCCAUGUGGGUGGCGAGCUGAUAAGGACCCCAUUAUAAUUAGCAAAGAAGACUUUUAAGUUUUAUCCUAUGUUUAACUAAUUAUGUU